UUCACGAUGGCUCUUGCAUCAAAAGGGCGAAUGAAGCUUUUCAGGUAGAUUUUCAGCAUCUGUGAGAAGAUGGGGCAUGAGCACAGGGACAGGGGAAAUGCAUUUGCCAAGUUUAGAACCCACUUGAACCUGAAAGGCUGGGAAAUUGCAAAGUGAACUCGGGCUUUCUGGCGUCUGAAAUUGCCCUUCUGCUACUUUGGACCACAUGGAGUGGAGUGCGAGGCAGCCUAGAGGUGAUUUUCCAUGUUUCAAUAAAAAAACAAACACACAAAUGGCA
Molecule: non-coding RNA, 277 nt
Organism: Macaca mulatta (Rhesus monkey)
Lineage: Eukaryota; Metazoa; Chordata; Mammalia; Primates; Cercopithecidae
Source: RefSeq, a predicted model, not a curated record